GACGUAGGGGGCCAGCGUUGCUCGGAAUUACUGGGCGUAAAGGGUUCGUAGGCGGUGCGGUAUGUCGGGAGUGAAAUCUCUGGGCUUAACCUGGGAAUGGCAUUUGGGACUGCAAGGCUGGAGUGCGGCAGAGGAGACUGGAAUUCCUGGUGUAGCAGUGAAAUGCGUAGAUAUCAGGAGGAAUACCGAUGGCGAAGGCAGGUCUCUGGGCUGACACUGACGCUCAUGCACGAAAGCGUGGGGAGCAAACAGG
RNAcentral lists this ribosomal RNA (253 nucleotides) under uncultured bacterium. RNAcentral describes it as "partial 16S ribosomal RNA". It matches the Rfam family "Bacterial small subunit ribosomal RNA", at positions 524 to 776 of the family's 1533-position model. The record is from RNAcentral.